RNAcentral lists this ribosomal RNA (222 nucleotides) under uncultured bacterium. RNAcentral's name for it is "partial 16S ribosomal RNA". It matches the Rfam family "Bacterial small subunit ribosomal RNA", at positions 524 to 743 of the family's 1533-position model. The record is from RNAcentral.
UACGGAGGGAGCUAGCGUUGUUCGGAAUUACUGGGCGUAAAGCGCACGUAGGCGGCUUUUUAAGUCAGGGGUGAAAUCCCGGGGCUCAACCCCGGAACUGCCCUUGAAACUGGAAGGCUAGAAUCUUGGAGAGGCGAGUGGAAGUUCCGAGUGUAGAGGUGAAAUUCGUAGAUAUUCGGAAGAACACCAGUGGCGAAGGCGACUCGCUGGACGAAGUAUUGA